Molecule: ribosomal RNA, 265 nt
Filed under: uncultured archaeon
Lineage: Archaea
Description: partial 16S ribosomal RNA
Rfam family: Archaeal small subunit ribosomal RNA
Source: RNAcentral
AGUCACUGACAUUAGAUACCCGUGUAGUCCAGGGUGUUAAACGCUGCAGACUUGGUGUUGGGGGCCCUUUGGGGCGAUUCAGUGCCGGAGAGAAGUUGUUAAGUCUGCUACUUGGGGAGUACGUCCGCAAGGAUGAAACUUAAAGGAAUUGGCGGGGGAGCACCGCAACGGGAGGAGCGUGCGGUUUAAUUGGAUUCAACACCGUAAACUCACCAGGGAAGACUGUUACAUGAAGGCCGAGAUGAAGACUCUGCUAGAUUUUCAG